RNAcentral lists this ribosomal RNA (224 nucleotides) under uncultured bacterium. RNAcentral's name for it is "partial 16S ribosomal RNA". It matches the Rfam family "Bacterial small subunit ribosomal RNA", at positions 14 to 230 of the family's 1533-position model. The record is from RNAcentral.
UGAUCAUGCUCAGGAUGAACGCUAGCUACAGGCUUAACACAUGCAAGUCGAGGGGCAGCAUGGUCUUAGCUUGCUAAGGCCGAUGGCGACCGGCGCACGGGUGAGUAACACGUAUCCAACCUGCCGUCUACUCUUGGACAGCCUUCUGAAAGGAAGAUUAAUACAAGAUGGCAUCACGAGUCCGCAUGUUCACAUGAUUAAAGGUAUUCCGGUAGACGAUGGGG